RNAcentral lists this transfer RNA (67 nucleotides) under Kamimuria wangi. Its description in RNAcentral is "tRNA-Pro". Lineage: Eukaryota; Metazoa; Arthropoda; Insecta; Plecoptera; Perlidae. The record is from RNAcentral. RNAcentral also lists the same sequence under 1 other name.
CAGGAAAUAGUUUAUAAAAAAUACUAGUUUUGGGGAUUAGAGAUAGGGAGUAACUCUCUUUUCCUGA